RNAcentral lists this ribosomal RNA (845 nucleotides) under uncultured bacterium. Its description in RNAcentral is "bacterial SSU rRNA". It matches the Rfam family "Bacterial small subunit ribosomal RNA", at positions 8 to 853 of the family's 1533-position model. The record is from RNAcentral.
AGAGUUUGAUUAUGGCUCAGCCUGAACGCUGGCGGCGUGCCUAACACAUGCAAGUCGAACGGCCUUUUAAACUGGAAGUUUUCGGAUGGAAGGAAUAAAGUUUAGUGGCGGACGGGUGAGUAACGCGUGGGUAACCUCCCCUGUACAGGGGGAUAACAGCUGGAAACGGCUGCUAACACCGCAUAACAUAGUGAUACCGCAUGAUAUUGCUAUCAAAUAUUUAUAGGUACAGGAUGGGCCCGCGUCUGAUUAGCCAGUUGGCAGGGUAAUGGCCUACCAAAGCGACGAUCAGUAGCCGGCUUGAGAGAGUGACCGGCCACAUUGGGACUGAGACACGGCCCAAACUCCUACGGGAGGCAGCAGUGGGGGAUAUUGCACAAUGGGGGAAACCCUGAUGCAGCGACGCCGCGUGAGUGAAGAAGUAUUUCGGUAUGUAAAGCUCUAUCAGCAGGGAAGAUGAUGACAGUACCUGACUAAGAAGCCCCGGCUAACUACGUGCCAGCAGCCGCGGUAAUACGUAGGGGGCAAGCGUUAUCCGGAUUUACUGGGUGUAAAGGGAGCGUAGGCGGCUGGGCAAGUCAGAAGUGAAAGCCCGGGGCUCAACCCCGGGACUGCUUUUGAAACUGUCCAGCUAGAGUGUCGGAGGGGUAGGCGGAAUUCCUAGUGUAGCGGUGAAAUGCGUAGAUAUUAGGAGGAACACCAGUGGCGAAGGCGGCCUACUGGACGAUGACUGACGCUGAGGCUCGAAAGCGUGGGGAGCAAACAGGAUUAGAUAACCUGAUAAUCCACGCCGUAAAAGAUGAAUACUAGGUGUUGGGGUCCACAAGGACUUCGGUGGCCGUCCG